CGCCGCGGCUCCCGGCGCCGGGCCGUGCCGUGCCCUGCCGCCCCGGGCUGCGGCGGGAGCAGCUCCUGAAGCUCCGCUCUUGAACUUUUCCUACYCAGCGACUUGACGGGCUGCUCUCGCUGUCCUGUUGGCGUCUACAAGGAGAAAAUCUGGCAGGGGCUGCCUUCCCAGCAGUCCCCGAUCUGCUCCAAACAUGCUUAGAGGCAGCCUCUCUCGGAGGGAGGGGUGCGCUACAUUCGCAGUCAAAUUACAUGGCUGGCCUCUAAAGGCACUAGCUUCGGAUUUCCAAACUAAUACUCAUCUUUUAAAAGCCGAGCCAAAAAGAAAAUGCAAGGAAGGCCUCAGAUGCGGGAGACCUCGGGCCCAAUGAGCAAGUCCACGCAACAGCACGCGAGGAUUUUUAUGGAGAUGGCGGAUGGUACCGCGCAUAGUUACCGGCUUGUAUCACGGCGAGAUCGGAGCGAUCUUCCAAAAAAAUAGGGCGCUUCCUUUUAAAUGAGCAAACCUGAUGCUUGUCUGUUUGUUUGUUUGAAAGAGUUGUGCCGCUUUCCUGUUUGUAAUUUAACCGUGCACUGUUACGGGGAUGUCCGUCCGGGCGAUCGCCGCGGUGACGUUGAAUUAUGGAAAUAGUACAGGUGUUACUGCGGUGUUUGGGAAUUAAUUCUCAUUCCUUCUCUCCCCUCCUCCUUCCCGGAGUUAUUUCCUAGCCUACCCAGAUAGCUGGGAAAGGGUCCCACAUACCCCGGAGCUGUAAAUUGAGCGCUGAAAUACUUGAUCUCACUGAUUCUUUGGAGAAUUAAAUCUGGCCUCAUUUUACAGGAGGAAAAGAAGUCAAUCUCGGAGGUUUUGCGAAGAAAGGCUGUUAUUUCCUAGAGGAUAGACAUUUAAGUUGUUAAAUAUUAGUUUUUAAUUACAUAUUGUUCUUUUAUAAAAUAAUAUUUAUACUUAAGUCCGGGCAGGUAUUCAAUUGAAUUUUCAAGCCAUCAGCUAACUAUUCUUUACCCAACUGAUGGAAAACAGCCCACUGUGCAAGCGCCGCGGUAUGUUGCUUCAGCAGACGGCGCUUGAGUGUUCACGAUUGCACUUUGUGCCCGGACAAACGCCGCUGGGCUGUGCGGGGCCCCGGACUCGCCGCCCCGGGAGCCCAGGCGGGGCGCACCGCGGCCGGCCC
RNAcentral lists this long non-coding RNA (1171 nucleotides) under Dromaius novaehollandiae (emu). Its description in RNAcentral is "lncRNA (ENSDNVG00000009972.1)". Lineage: Eukaryota; Metazoa; Chordata; Aves; Casuariiformes; Dromaiidae. The record is from RNAcentral.